GAGUGGACGCAUCACUGGUGUUCGGGUUGUCAUGCCAAUGGCACUGCCCGGUAGCUAAAUGCGGAAGAGAUAAGUGCUGAAAGCAUCUAAGCACGAAACUUGCCCCGAGAUGAGUUCUCCCUGAGACUUAGAGUCUCCUGAAGGAACGUUGAAGACGACGACGUUGAUAGGCCGGGUGUGUAAGCGCAGCGAUGCGUUGAGCUAACCGGUACUAAUGAACCGUGAGGCUUAACCUUACAACGCCGAAG
RNAcentral lists this ribosomal RNA (248 nucleotides) under Salmonella enterica. Its description in RNAcentral is "partial 23S ribosomal RNA". It matches the Rfam family "Bacterial large subunit ribosomal RNA", at positions 2695 to 2925 of the family's 2925-position model. RNAcentral also lists the same sequence under 3 other names. The record is from RNAcentral. Lineage: Bacteria; Pseudomonadati; Pseudomonadota; Gammaproteobacteria; Enterobacterales; Enterobacteriaceae.